This 332-nucleotide ribosomal RNA is filed under the name uncultured bacterium. RNAcentral describes it as "bacterial SSU rRNA". It matches the Rfam family "Bacterial small subunit ribosomal RNA", at positions 568 to 898 of the family's 1533-position model. The record is from RNAcentral.
UGUGUAGGCGGAUUCCUAAGUACCUUGUGAAAUCCCACGGCUCAACCGUGGAACUGCUUGGUAUACUGGGUGUCUUGAGCCACUUAGGGGCUACCGGAACAAAUGGUGGAGCGGUGAAAUGCGUAGAUAUCAUUUGGAACGCCAAUGGUGAAAACAGGUAGCUGGGAGUGUGCUGACGCUGAGACACGAAAGCCAGGGGAGCGAACGGGAUUAGAUACCCCGGUAGUCCUGGCCGUAAACGAUGUCGACUAGAUCGCAGUGCCUCUGACGGUAUUGCGGUCGAAGCAAAAGUGCUAAGUCGACCGCCUGGGAAGUACGGUCGCAAGGCUAAA